This 364-nucleotide ribosomal RNA is filed under the name uncultured Actinomycetes bacterium. RNAcentral describes it as "bacterial LSU rRNA". It matches the Rfam family "Bacterial large subunit ribosomal RNA", at positions 1402 to 1663 of the family's 2925-position model. Lineage: Bacteria; Bacillati; Actinomycetota; Actinomycetes. The record is from RNAcentral.
CCGAGAGGCGUAGUCGAUGGACAACGGGUUGAUAUUCCCGUACUGACGAAGAACCGCCCAAGCUAACCCAGUGAUGCUAAGUGUCUGAAUCCUUGUUGACGAGCCCUUCGGGGUGAGCGGCAGGGCCUAGCACACGACCCUAUGCUGGUGCGGCUAGCGUAUUAACAGGUGUGACGCAGGAAGGUAGCUGAGCCGGGCGAUGGUAGUCCCGGUGUAAGGAUGUAGGGCGAGGGAUAGGCAAAUCCGUUCCUCAUGACGCCUGAGAUCCGAUGCGUAUCCCUCACGGGAGAAAUCAGUGAUCCUAUGCUGCCAAGAAAAGCAUCGACGCGAGGUUCAAGUCACCCGUACCCCAAACCAACACAGG